UUUUGAGUGUUAUCAGAGAGUGAGAAGUUUCUAAAAGUUCUUGGAGAUUUCUGUGAGGUUUUCUGGAGAAUUUGAGGCUUGUUCUUGAUGGUUUCAGGAGUUAGAAGGCUAGAUCUGGGUUAAUUGGUGUUAGGAGAGUUUGAUCCUUCCAUUUCCUCUCUUUUUUGUUUCUGGUUAAUCCAUUUUAAGAGUGUUGUGGUGCCUCUCAACGUCCCUUUGGUGAGUCUCAAUCGUCCAAGGAGUGCAAGGAGAAGCGAAUGGAGUGAUGUUAGGGUUUAGGUGUCGCUCGACACCAGUGGAGGGUCUCGAUCAACACUAACUUGUCUGGUCGGGUUUCCAAGUGUUGGUGUCAAGCGUCAGUAGGAAGGUAAAGGGAAAGUGUGACUGUGGGAUCAAGUCGAGGAGAAAAGAAUGAUCUAGGGGCUCACUGGAUGUUCGUGAAUAAGGGUAGAACUAUUGUUAGGAACGUUAGUUCUGGAAUCUAGAAACAUGUUAGGAAUGCUGGUUUGAUUUUGAAAUAAUGGUUGAAUUGUUGAUUCAUGCAAAUGGGUUAUUUGGAUUGUUUUGUUGUGUCUUCUGUUGGUUA
Long non-coding RNA from Capsella rubella, 586 nucleotides. RefSeq lists it as uncharacterized. The record is from RefSeq and is a predicted model, not a curated record. The transcript has 3 exons. Lineage: Eukaryota; Viridiplantae; Streptophyta; Magnoliopsida; Brassicales; Brassicaceae.